GUAGGUGAACCUGCGGUUGGAUCAUUAAAAAAUACAAGUGUGAACGACCCUUAUUUGGGAAUUCACACUUUGUACCCUGUGGCCAUCGCCCGGGGUAUAACCCACAUUUUGUGCACUGACAUCUGUCCCUGGCGGGCGGGCAGCGCAAGCUGCUUGUCAACCAUGAUUCUUCAUGGGUGUGGACAACCCGUCAACCACUUCUUUACUUAUGUUUUUCUUACAUUGUCUGACAUUAUUUGUACAAAAAUACAAAACAACUUUUGGCAACGGAUCUCUUGGCUCUC
RNAcentral lists this unclassified non-coding RNA (284 nucleotides) under rhizosphere metagenome. Its description in RNAcentral is "partial ribosomal RNA internal transcribed spacer region". The record is from RNAcentral.